UACGGGGGGGGCAAGCGUUGUUCGGAAUUACUGGGCGUAAAGGGUUCGUAGGCGGCCAACUAAGUCAGACGUGAAAUCCCUCAGCUUAACUGGGGAACUGCGUCUGAUACUGGAUGGCUUGGAUUCGGGAGAGGAAUGCGGAAUUCCAGGUGUAGCGGUGAAAUGCGUAGAUAUCUGGAGGAACACCGGUGGCGAAGGCGGCAUUCUGGACCGAUAUUGACGCUGAGGAGCGAAAGCAAGGGGAGCAAACGGG
This 253-nucleotide ribosomal RNA is filed under the name uncultured bacterium. Its description in RNAcentral is "partial 16S ribosomal RNA". It matches the Rfam family "Bacterial small subunit ribosomal RNA", at positions 524 to 776 of the family's 1533-position model. The record is from RNAcentral.